AUUGAACGCUGGCGGCAUGCCUUACACAUGCAAGUCGAACGGCAGCACGGGAGCAAUCCCGGUGGCGAGUGGCGAACGGGUGAGUAAUAUAUCGGAACGUGCCCAGUCGUGGGGGAUAACGUAGCGAAAGCUACGCUAAUACCGCAUACGAUCUAUGGAUGAAAGCGGGGGAUCGCAAGACCUCGCGCGAUUGGAGCGGCCGAUAUCAGAUUAGGUAGUUGGUGAGGUAAAGGCUCACCAAGCCGACGAUCUGUAGCUGGUCUGAGAGGACGACCAGCCACACUGGGACUGAGACACGGCCCAGACUCCUACGGGAGGCAGCAGUGGGGAAUUUUGGACAAUGGGCGCAAGCCUGAUCCAGCAAUGCCGCGUGCAGGAUGAAGGCCUUCGGGUUGUAAACUGCUUUUGUACGGAGCGAAAAGGCUCCCUCUAAUACAGGGGGCUCAUGACGGUACCGUAAGAAUAAGCNCCGGCUAACUACGUG
This 484-nucleotide ribosomal RNA is filed under the name uncultured bacterium. RNAcentral's name for it is "bacterial SSU rRNA". It matches the Rfam family "Bacterial small subunit ribosomal RNA", at positions 30 to 507 of the family's 1533-position model. The record is from RNAcentral.